Aegilops tauschii subsp. strangulata is the source of this 1820-nucleotide long non-coding RNA. RefSeq lists it as uncharacterized. The record is from RefSeq and is a predicted model, not a curated record. Lineage: Eukaryota; Viridiplantae; Streptophyta; Magnoliopsida; Poales; Poaceae.
CCUCUCUUUCCUUCAUCUCUUCUUCGUCCUAUUCCUCUUCUACAGGCAGCCGCUUCCUCCCUCCCUCUCGGCUGCCUCGUCUCCUCUGCCUCCACCUCCUCCUCCUCACUCGACCUCCCUUGCCUCCUCACCCGACUAGCACGGAUAGGACGACGUGCAGGCAAAGGGAGAUGGCGGCGGCGCUCGAUCCGAUCUGUAGGAGAGAGAAGAUGAGAGGGAGAGAUAGAAGGAAGGAGAGAAUGGAUGGUGUGGUCUUCAUGACGCGUGUGGAGGAGCAGGAGAGAAGAUGAGAGGGAGAGGGAGAGGAUCUUGACGAAGAGUAUAGAACAAGAAAAUCUGUGCUGCUUACUGGAAUCAUGUUGUUCAAGGUAAAACCAGCAAAGUUCUCUUUGAUGUUCCUUACAUUAGAUUAACCUGUUUCUUGCCAUAUCUCAAUUUUUGUGUGCCUAUUUUAGUGCAAUAUUUAGAACUGUACUAACCGCAGAUUCAGUUUGGAAUUAGAACUGCCCCGUCGUUUAUGUUUGAGACGCUCGAACAUCCGGAGGCUAGCCCAUACUACACCACCAUAUGUUGACAUCUUUUGAUCCGAGCAAAUGUUGAAGUAAAAAAAAAACACCAUUAGUAAGAGAGUAUAUAUGUAUAUUUCAAGGAAGGAUGGGUGAAAUAGCAGGUCAGAGAUGCUACAAUAUACUUUGUUUGUUUGGGUUUGGGAGCCAGCCAGCGCACCGCCUCGUCAGUUUCGCACCGCUGCCAGGUCCGUUGCCUUGGAUUCGGGUGUGGUGUUGGCUGGGAACCGUACGGUGUUUGUCUGACGUGUCGUCCGCACCGGGGAGGGGGGGGGGGGGGGGGGUCGGUCGACUCCAGAGGCGACCCGGCACCGGCGCAUGCCCGGCGGUGGGACUUCGCCGUGGCCGGUGGGCGGCAGCAAGCGGUGCGGCGAGGGGAGGCGCACGGUCCAGAGGGUGGGACUCUUGCUAGCCGCUCUCCCGUUCCCGUUGGUUUCUUGCGGCCACGGUGGCGUUUCUCAGAUCGAGCGCCGCUCAUCCUUCUCCUCUUCGCUGCUUCUCCACAACGCUAGCCCCUCCACCUCUCCUUCCUCCCCUUCGUUGUGUGGUGGACAUGGGAUGCGCCUAGAUCCAGAUCGGGCGUAGGUUAGGUGAGGCUGAUGGUUGGGUGAAGGAGUAGGGGAGGCGGGCGACGAGGACAGGAAGAAGCCGGCCGUCGUGGUGCAGUGGGGCUGCCGGGAAGGAAGAGGUCGGCUGCGUCCCCGGCGGUGUCGGUGGAACUGCUCCUCAACGAGAUUCGGCCAUGGAGAGGACCGUGGUGCCAGCGCAGCCUCGCCCCCUCUAGCGCCAUCGAACUGAGAUGGCAAGCACCAUUUUGUUGGUUCCUGUCUUGCCAAUGUCUACAGCAAUGUGUGUGUCCUCUGUCUCAUCUGUGGGGCAACUCAUAAUGGGCCUAUCAAGCAUACUGACCUUGUGAUGAUAGAUAAAGAGGUUGAUUUCAGUGCCAUUCAGAUAAUAUAUUUUUAGCCCUGUGAAUUGAAAAAUGAGUGCUUCUUGGUUGUUUCUGUUGUUGGUGGCACUUCUUGGUGUGUUAACUAAAUGGUUUAGUCCUGCGCUUCAUAGAAGCAGUUUUAACUAAAUGUAAUGAACUAAUUAAGUGCCUUCUUUUAUUGUUGGCUAAUCCUUUAGUUUUAUCGCAUGCUACAUUCUAUAUGAUGAUACGCUACCACUCUAAUACGUCCAGGCACUAUAAACCCUAUGUCAGCUAUGUAUGAAUUUGGAAUCUAUAUUGCAGAAGUAUUUGCGACUGUUGUA